GGCGAACGUUGGCGGCGUGCUUAAUACAUGCAAGUCAACUGAAGCAGUGGUAGCAAUAUCGCUGUGGAGGUGGCGCACGGGUGAGUAACACGUAGGUAAUCUGCCUUCAGGUCUGGCAUAACUCCGGGAAACCGGGGCUAAUAGCAGAUGAUGCAGCGGCUCGACAUCGAGACAGUUGUUAAAGCUAUGGCGCCUGAAGAUGAGCCUGCGUCUGAUUAGCUAGUUGGCGGGGUAACGGCCCACCAAGGCAACGAUCAGUAGCUGGUCUGAGAGGAUGAUCAGCCACACUGGAACUGAGACACGGUCCAGACUCCUACGGGAGGCAGCAGUAAGGAAUAUUGCUCAAUGGGAGAAAUCCUGAAGCAGCAACGCCGCGUGAGGGACGAAGGGCUUUUGCUUGUAAACCUCUGUAGUGAGAGAAAAAAAUCCCAAUCUUUGGGACAUGAUGGUAUCUCAAAAGUAAGCCCCGGCUAACUACGUG
RNAcentral lists this ribosomal RNA (481 nucleotides) under uncultured bacterium. Its description in RNAcentral is "partial 16S ribosomal RNA". It matches the Rfam family "Bacterial small subunit ribosomal RNA", at positions 28 to 507 of the family's 1533-position model. The record is from RNAcentral.